Molecule: ribosomal RNA, 468 nt
Filed under: uncultured bacterium
Lineage: Bacteria
Description: partial 16S ribosomal RNA
Rfam family: Bacterial small subunit ribosomal RNA
Source: RNAcentral
GACGAACGCUGGCGGCGUGCUUUACACAUGCAAGUCGAACGGAAAGGCCCUGCUUUUGUGGGGUGCUCGAGUGGCGAACGGGUGAGUAACACGUGAGUAACCUGCCCUUGACUUUGGGAUAACUUCAGGAAACUGGGGCUAAUACCGGAUAGGAGCUCCUGCUGCAUGGUGGGGGUUGGAAAGUUUCGGCGGUUGGGGAUGGACUCGCGGCUUAUCAGCUUGUUGGUGGGGUAGUGGCUUACCAAGGCUUUGACGGGUAGCCGGCCUGAGAGGGUGACCGGCCACAUUGGGACUGAGAUACGGCCCAGACUCCUACGGGAGGCAGCAGUGGGGAAUAUUGCACAAUGGGCGGACGCCUGAUGCAGCAACGCCGCGUGCGGGAUGACGGCCUUCGGGUUGUAAACCGCUUUCGCCUGUGACGAAGCGUGAGUGACGGUAAUGGGUAAAGAAGCACCGGCUAACUACGUG